GUUGUCCGCCAUCUUUUAGUUAGGUAGAAAGUUUCUCUUGCUGUUAACGAAGUGUGUGUUGUGAGUGUAAAAUUGUUAUUUUUUGUUCCACAUAUAACUGUACGAACUUGUGGAGCAAAGAAAGUGAUUUAACUUUCCACAGGUUUCCUCUACAAAAAGGCGAUUUGCUGAAACAGUAGGUAAUUGCCACUAAACGCAAAGGUUUCACUCCUACAAGGGCUAGUUUCUUGUGUGGAGAUAACUUUUUGGAAGAAGAUUAUUUAGUAAGGCCUGGUACUUCGAAUGGCAACUCAAACCUGAUGCAGUGCCACUUCGAAUGCCCAAGGAAAAGCAACCAAGGCGACAGAUUAGAAUAACAACUGAAGUCUACUAUACAAACUCACGAUUAUAUUAAACAGCUUUCUCUGAGUUGCAAACAUCUAAGGAAUGUGGAUCUCAAACACAAAUAGAAAUGAUUGACAAGGCCACUGCCAUAUGGAAUUUUUUAUCAGAUGUGGACGCACUGAGAAGAAAAAUCAAGAGCCUGGAGGAAAUAAUUAGGAGAAGAGAGAAGAAAAACUGUUCAAUGAAAGACAUCAUAAGUGCUCUGAAAGAGAAGGUUCAUCUAACAGUGAAGCUGCAUGAAUUCCUGAAUCAACGAACAGGGACUCAGGGGGAAUUAGUGUGCAAUUUAUUGAAUAAUUCAGUGUCAUCCAAGGGAAACAGGUACAAAACAGACAUUAAAAUGUUUGCAAUGAUGGUGUAUUUUCUCUCUCCUAAUGUGUAUGAAUGUUUAGACAUUAAUGCCUCUGCCUCACAAAUCUGAUUCCUUGUUGGGUAGGGACCGUGAAUUGUGAUCCUGGCCUUUUAAGUGAUGUGUUCGGGUACUUUGAGUUUAACCAUCAAGUGAGAACUGAAUUUAAAGGUUUUAGCCUCAUAAUAGACAGUGUGGCAAUUAGAAAACAGGUAGUAUUGGACCAGGAAACUAAGAGGUAUACAGGUUUUGCAGAUUUUGGAGGAGAAGUUGAAAAAUCAAAAGAAGUGAAAGAAACUUCAGAGGCAUUAAUUUUUAUGCUUGUGUCCAUAAAAGGUAAAUUAAAGUGUCCCAUAUUUUUAGUGAAUGGAUUUGAUAUUAGUGUGCAGGCAAAGGUAAUUAACUCUGUUCUGGAGAGGCUAUGCAGUUCAGGCAUCAGGAUUUGGGCAGUCACUUGUGAUGGCACAAGGAGAAAUAUAAGUACUGUUAAUUUAUUGGAAUGCAGUAUUUAUUUUCAUCAAAAUUUUUUUCUUCUAAGUUCCUUUACCCAGUUUCAAACCACAAUGUUCACUGCAUUUUGGAUAUGUGUCUUAAGUGGCAGUACUUAAAGGAACUAAAUGAGUUGCAAAUUGAGGAAGGCAUGACAUUUCCUAACAAGUUACCAGGACAACAUAUUAAUUACAUUAAUGAAAACAUGAAUGUCUGGUUAGCAGUUAAAACACUUUCAGUUCUAGUGUUGCAGAUGCUAUAGAUAUUUUGAGAAGAGCUGGCAAUCCCAGAUUCCAUUGUAGUGUGGCAACAGUAGAGUUUUUGAGACUAAUAGACAGAAUUUGUGACGUCUUUAACUCCAGAAAUCCUCUAGCUUCAGGAUAUAAAGCCAGUCUGAAACUUGGUAAUCAGACAUAUUGGCUUGAUAUUUUUCAUCAGACAGAAUCUUGUAUGAGAAUUUUAAAAGUAAAUGGUGUUACUCUUCUGCAGCAUCAAAGAAAUACUUUUGCCUUUGGCAUAAUUUUGAACAUGCAUUCGAUUAAAGCCAUUGCACUGGAAAUAACUACAGGGAAAAAUUCUCCCCUGCAAUAUUUGUUGACACAAGUUUUCCCAAGAUCAUAUUGAACUCUUCUUCUCAUGUGUGAGGAUCCAGAGGGGGUUGGAUGAAUAACCCAAAUUCAUAUCAGUUGAAGUGUGCUAUGCAUAAGUUGCUUUUAGGCAGUAAUGUUAGCACUGUUGGGGGAAACUGUACAAAUUUUAACAUGUGUUUAAUGGUACCUGUGGGACUGUGUGAUUUCUGAUCACAAAAGCGUCCUCUUAUAGAUGAUGAUGAUUCUUUUAUGUUUGUAGAUGAAGUAGAAAAAUGGUGCUCAUCUAUUGAAGGGGGUACUCUGUUUUCUACAUACAAGUAGAACAUUUUGUACUACACUGCAGGAUAUGUUGCCCUCACAAUUUCAAAACAAGUUACAUGUAAGAAGUGCCUCUACAUUCUUAGGCCACCUGUCGUUUGUAAUGCUGUAAUGUAAGCACUUCUCAGUACUGCAGAAAAGAGCUCAUUCACGAAAUUUGUAAGCCAAGGUAAGCUUAUUGAAACAAGUAGUGCUUGUAUACUCUGUGGUGGAGCGCUCAGAAAAAUUGUUUCAAAUGUUUGUUGUCAAUGGUGACAUGAGGCAAAAGCACUUAAUUACUAAGAUUGUCAUGUGUGUCCUUAAGAUUUAUGAACUAUUCAUUCCCUCAACUUGACCAUGACUUCCAUAAUGGAUGCGGAGUUGAAGAUUUGCAUGAGACACGGCUUGCGCGUAAGAUAGCAUCUAGGUACAUUUACGAGUGGCUGAAAGCAAAUGGGAAAAGGUUUUCAGCUGAGAAGAUAGGUCACAAUACAUCUAGUGUAAGACAAAAACUCAGCAAGAUUAUUUUAUUCAGUAAUGUUUAAUGUUGUGCCUGUAACAUUGCAGUAGUGGUUAAAAAUGUAUGGAAAUGAAAAAACUAAAUUUCAUAUUUUGUGUUUCAGUGUGUUUUUGUGUUCUUGUUUCAAUAUACUUGCUCAUGCUUAAUGUUUACAGUAUUAAUCAUUUUACAAACGAUAAAAAAGUACAUAGACAUAUGAAAGUGUUAAUUGAGACAUUACAAUCAGGGUAGCUUUUAACUAAUCAUGCUAUCUUUGUACCAACUGCUAUUUUUGUUUCGAAUGGCUGGUGUCACACCUGUUUGUAUUAUUUUGUAUAAAAGUCACGUUUUUAUUACCUCUGUGAUUCAUUCAAAUGUUUUUCCACCUCCCUAAAAGCUCUUAGGCUUGUGAUUUUUCUUUAAUUGCUUUGACUGUGAAGUAAGAUUCUGACAGUGAUUUAAGUUGAACACUGCCAGACUGAUACAA
Molecule: long non-coding RNA, 3095 nt
Organism: Schistocerca serialis cubense
Lineage: Eukaryota; Metazoa; Arthropoda; Insecta; Orthoptera; Acrididae
Exons: 3
Source: RefSeq, a predicted model, not a curated record